Long non-coding RNA from Pseudopipra pipra, 258 nucleotides. RefSeq lists it as uncharacterized. Lineage: Eukaryota; Metazoa; Chordata; Aves; Passeriformes; Pipridae. The record is from RefSeq and is a predicted model, not a curated record. The transcript has 3 exons.
CCCGAGGGAAGGAGGGACUCUGAAAUGAUUCCAUGCAUUUGCUUCAGCAGGAUGGCACAGACUCAGCACUCCUGAGUCGCGUGGACUGACACUGAUCCCUGCCGAGCCAGGAACAUCUGCUCUAGGGAGGCCGUUCUGCCAGGGCAUGGGAGAAGCCUCACCCCCAGGGUUGUGGGAUGUGCUGUGGGACCGAAAACACACGGGAAGAAAGAAGCUGCCUUCCAGAACACAGGGUUGCUCAGCAAGAAGCUCCUCUUU